ACUCCUACGGGAGGCAGCAGUGGGGAAUAUUGCACAAUGGGCGCAAGCCUGAUGCAGCCAUGCCGCGUGUAUGAAGAAGGCCUUAGGGUUGUAAAGUACUUUCAGCAGUGAGGAAGGUGUUGUCGUUAAUAGCGGCAUCAUUUGACGUUAGCUGCAGAAGAAGCACCGGCUAACUCCGUGCCAGCAGCCGCGGUAAUACGGAGGGUGCGAGCGUUAAUCGGAAUUACUGGGCGUAAAGCGCAUGCAGGCGGCCUGUUAAGUCAGAUGUGAAAGCCCGGGGCUUAACCUCGGAAUUGCAUUUGAAACUGGCAGGCUAGAGUCUUGUAGAGGGGGGUAGAAUUUCAGGUGUAGCGGUGAAAUGCGUAGAGAUCUGAAGGAAUACCGGUGGCGAAGGCGGCCCCCUGGACAGAUACUGACACUCAGAUGCGAAAGCGUGGGGAGCAAACAGGAUUAGAUACCCU
This 461-nucleotide ribosomal RNA is filed under the name uncultured bacterium. Its description in RNAcentral is "bacterial SSU rRNA". It matches the Rfam family "Bacterial small subunit ribosomal RNA", at positions 335 to 788 of the family's 1533-position model. The record is from RNAcentral.